RNAcentral lists this ribosomal RNA (497 nucleotides) under uncultured bacterium. Its description in RNAcentral is "partial 16S ribosomal RNA". It matches the Rfam family "Bacterial small subunit ribosomal RNA", at positions 28 to 507 of the family's 1533-position model. The record is from RNAcentral.
GACGAACGCUGGCGGCGUGCCUAAUACAUGCAAGUUGAGCGCUGAAGGUUGGUACUUGUACCAACUGGAUGAGCAGCGAACGGGUGAGUAACGCGUGGGGAAUCUGCCUUUGAGCGGGGGACAACAUUUGGAAACGAAUGCUAAUACCGCAUAAAAACUUUAAACACAAGUUUUAAGUUUGAAAGAUGCAAUUGCAUCACUCAAAGAUGAUCCCGCGUUGUAUUAGCUAGUUGGUGAGGUAAAGGCUCACCAAGGCGAUGAUACAUAGCCGACCUGAGAGGGUGAUCGGCCACAUUGGGACUGAGACACGGCCCAAACUCCUACGGGAGGCAGCAGUAGGGAAUCUUCGGCCAUGGACGACAGUCUGACCGAGCAACGCCGCGUUAGUGAAGAAGGGUUUCGGAUCGUAAAACUCUGUUGGUAGAGAAGAACGUUGGUGAGAGUGGAAAGCUCAUCAAGUGACGGUAACUACACAGAAAGGGACGGCUAACUACGUG